CCUACGGGAGGCUGCAGUGGGGAAUAUUGUACAAUGGGGGGAACCCUGAUGCAGCGACGCCGCGUGAGUGAAGAAGUAUUUCGGUAUGUAAAGCUCUAUCAGCAGGGAAGAAAAUGACGGUACCUGAGUAAGACGCCCCGGCUCACUAAGUGCCAGCAGCGGCGGUACUACGUAGGGGGCAAGCGUUAUCCGGAUUUACUGGGUGGAAAGGGAGAGCAGAGGGCUGUGCAAGACUGGAGUGAAAGGCGGGGGCCCAACCCCCGGACUGCUCUGGAAACUGUAAAGCUGGAGUGCAGGAGAGGUAAGCGGAAUGCCUAGUGUAGCGGUGAAAUGCGUAGAUAUUAGGAGGAACACCAGUGGCGAAGGCGGCUUACUGGACUGCAACUGACGUUGAGGCUCGAAAGCGUGGGGAGCAAACAGGAUUAGAUACCCUAGUAGUC
RNAcentral lists this ribosomal RNA (440 nucleotides) under uncultured bacterium. RNAcentral's name for it is "partial 16S ribosomal RNA". It matches the Rfam family "Bacterial small subunit ribosomal RNA", at positions 338 to 795 of the family's 1533-position model. The record is from RNAcentral.